UGCCCCAUGGCUGAGUUGGUUACAGCGUCCGACUGUUAAGCGCCCAGGCGCAAGACCAUCGGAAGGUCAUGAGUUCAAUCCUCAUUGGGGCAG
Coprinopsis sp. MPI-PUGE-AT-0042 is the source of this 93-nucleotide non-coding RNA. The record is from the annotation of a GenBank genome assembly. Lineage: Eukaryota; Fungi; Basidiomycota; Agaricomycetes; Agaricales; Psathyrellaceae.